RNAcentral lists this ribosomal RNA (248 nucleotides) under uncultured bacterium. Its description in RNAcentral is "partial 16S ribosomal RNA". It matches the Rfam family "Bacterial small subunit ribosomal RNA", at positions 523 to 769 of the family's 1533-position model. The record is from RNAcentral.
AUACGGAGGGUGCGAGCGUUAAUCGGAUUUACUGGGCGUAAAGGGCGCGUAGGCUGUUAAUCAAGUCAGAUGUGAAAGCCCGUGGCUUAACCACGUGAAGUGCAUCUGAAACUGGUUGACUUGAGUACUGGAGGGGAAGGUGGAAUUCCCGGUGUAGAGGUGAAAUUCGUAGAGAUCGGGAGGAAUACCGGUGGCGAAGGCGACCUUCUGGACAGAUACUGACGCUGAGGCGCGAAAGCGUGGGGAGC